This is a long non-coding RNA of Actinia tenebrosa (Australian red waratah sea anemone), 1033 nucleotides long. The record is from RefSeq and is a predicted model, not a curated record. NCBI's taxonomy places the organism in Eukaryota, Metazoa, Cnidaria, Anthozoa, Actiniaria, Actiniidae.
ACGCAGGCCAACUACAUGUAAAUGCAGCCCAACUUUAACUCUCUGCUUAUAAACAGACCAAAUUUAAAACAGGGUCAAUAAAAGUUGAGACGGAUGCAGGAUAUCAGUGACAGCAGAGAACAUUUGGACAGUAAAGCAUAAACCAUUGGUGUUUCAAUGGAAUUGAUGGGCAAGUGUCAUUGAAUAGUAAUUAUUUGUCAGCAAUUAGUGGCAUAAACUUCUCAACCAUUUGUCAGUUAGGUGAUGAUGGAUUAUUGGCUGUAUAAUGGCGGACAACCAACCAUUAAACGACCAACACUGGUCAAUGGAAGUGCUAUUUUUUAACAACACUUGAAACAACAAUUAUCCAGAAUUAAGUGAUUUCCAAAUCUGUCAUGCUUGAGAAUAAAGUUGUUUUUUUGAUUCUCUCCUUUUCUUGAAGAUUUUCCUCAAUCGAUUUUAAUUUACAGGAGAAUUGAAGACACCUACAUGUAGUAAAACCACUAGUUUUAAAAUCUCCUAUAUUUCCAGUGCUUCAUAUAUUAAUUUUGCUUACUUUGUUUUAGUAUUUGAUAUCUUGCUACAAACCCAUCACGAGGAUCUUUGCUGUAAUAUGCCGUAGCUACAAAGUGAACUGUUAGCCCAGAGAUUUUAUCAGCAUCCAAGCAUUGAUCAGAAGUACACAAUUUGCUGAGCAGAGGACCUAUAAAAAAUAUUAUUGAAUAUUAUUAAAUGACUUUCAAAAAAAAAAUCAAAAAAUAUUUUUAUCUUUAAGUAAUCUAGAGAUCCUUUUUUUAAUUUUAAAGCAAGGAAAGAUCCAGGGGUGGUAAAAGGGGUGACUAGUCACCCCCUUUUGCUCAAAUUUCUCAGUAUAUCGUUAGUAACAGUCACCCCCCUUUUCCUCAAAUUCCUGGAAAAACCUUCAUUAUAGUACUAGUCAUCCUGGCCCCUUCUAAAAUUCCUGGAUCCACCCCUAUAGAGUAAUCUAGCAGGCCCUUUUAUUGAUAAUCUGCUUCCCUUUUAUUGAUAAAAAAUAAAGGUUAUUUAUACCUGA